Molecule: long non-coding RNA, 5321 nt
Filed under: Cucumis sativus (cucumber)
Lineage: Eukaryota; Viridiplantae; Streptophyta; Magnoliopsida; Cucurbitales; Cucurbitaceae
Description: long non-coding RNA (CSAT_LNC000719)
Source: RNAcentral
UGUUAAACCCACGAUAUAAACCAGCAACACCAUCAGACUGCAAUGUCUUCCUGUAGACAUCAACCAGUCCAUUGAAUUGCCUUUCUCCACCCUUCUUGGCAGCUUUGGCAUCAUUUGCCAAUCGGGUACGCGCAUAGUCAAGAGAGUAAACAAAAAGAAGGGAUGAAGCACCGGCUGCACCUCCGGAUGCAAGGUUACCAGCAAACCAUUUCCAGUAACCAUCCCUGUCUUUCUUGAAGUUGAAAAGUCUCUUGAAGUAAUCCUUAAAAGCAAAGUUCAAUGCCUGGAGCAUGUAACCAUAAAACAAUUAGCUCAAGAAAGUUUAAAAAAAUGGAGAGAUAAAAUUAUACAACAGAAGAAAACCACACACUUGAGUGGGGAAAUAACGGAUGACAUUGGCAGUGUUUCCUCUCCACAAUGAACCGAAACCCUCCUCUUGCAUUGUGCGCUUAAAACAAUCACCAAUACCCUUGUAUGGCUCAGACAAACGUCCAGAUUUAAUCAUCUCAUCUUGAUUUUGAAUUAAGAGUUUGACACGCUCAAUCGGGGCAGCAGCUGUUUUGGACACAGCAGCAGACACACCACCCAUAAGAAAGUCAAGCAUAAAGUUUCCUUUCUCAGCAGGGGCAGCAACAAAAAUGGGGGAAGCGGUUGAGGAAACCCUAGAAAGGUCAGUUGUAGCUACACAGGAUUGCACAGCAGGAUAUUGAAAAGCAGCAUUGGAAUAAUUGGUAAUCGGUGCACGUCUCUGAUAGAGUGCAGGAUUUCUAAAGCCAUCAUCACAAGCCCGGAAACCCGAAGCAACCCUCGACUGAAGGGAGAGCUGACCAGCAACCUUCUGAUAGAUAGUGGGAUGUUGAACCUGAUCAGCCAUGGCUACUUCUUCCCUGCAAUAAUUCCCAAUGAUUUCAUCAGAUGAGAAAUACUCGUUUCAAAUUUAGAACAAGAGAUGACAUUGAGACACCAAUACGACAGUAGUGGGCCAGAAGUACAGUUUAGGUAAGGCAGAUAGCUAUUCAAGGAAAAUGAGAUCAAUAAAGAAUCGAAGAACAAAGUUAAUAUUUUAUAAGCAUCGUUCAAUGUAGCAAAUCAAGUACUAUAAGUCUUCGUUGAAAACAGAGCUGUAAUAACAAAUGCCAAGGGUUGAAAAGUAGCAACAUGGUCAAGAGUAAAGAUCAUUUACUAAAACAUAUAAACCUUAAUUCUGUUUUAUGAAAUAUCUAAUCGCAAUAACAAUAACAUAAGAAAAAAAAACGUACACAAACACACCAAUUUAAGGGUCGGCUCCAAACACUUAAAAGUAAAGAGUAAAUGCAUCCGUAAGAGCGCAGAUUCAUAACAAAAAAUUCGCUGAUCCACAGUAAAACAAUAGGAGACAACCAGUACGAUAAGAGGUCUCAUCAGUCAUCGCUAAGAGGCCACACAGUCAGUACAUGAUGAUAAUAUGCGAGUUUUAUAAAAAUACAACAAAUGAGAUUAGAUCGGAAAAAAUGGGAACACAACAAACCCAAACAGAAACUAGAAAAUUCACAUCAAAGAUUCCGUUCAGAAACUUCAACAGCAGAACUUCGGAAAUAGUUAAGGUGAACAGUAAACACUAUAAGAGAUAUAUUUAGGAAGAACAGAUCUCAAUCUAGAAGUAAAUAUGAGAAAACCAACAGACAAAUCCGACAAUCUGAAGUCUGUGCGAUCAGAAAUUUAAGAAAUAGCCAAGGAUCAGACCCCAGAAGUUUAAAAAAUAAAAAAUAAAAAAGGAAGCAGAAUAAAGACGAAUAAGGAUCGUUUUUACCAAAGACGAACCGAGAAGAAAGUGAAAGUAUGAAGAACUGCCGGAUCUGAAGGUGAAAUUGAAAGUGAUCGGUAGAAGAAUUGUGGAUCUAAAAGAGAGAAAGAGGAGUAUACCUUAGGAGAAAACUGAUGGCCGCGAGGGAAACUGGGAGGAGUCUGCCGCGGCUACAAUGUCGCGUAGGACGAAUGCGAAAACUUCAGGAGAAGAGAGGGUUUCCCGCUGCACCAUGGGUCAGUAUUAAGGGUUUAAAAUGGGCCCUUAUUGGGCCUUUAUUACCAAAGCCUUUACCAUAAGAUUUUAUGUUCUCCUUUAUUUUUAAAAAAUCAUAUUUAAAAUAAUUACAAAUAUAAACCAAUAUUAAUGUUACAAAUCUAUUAUUAAUAAACAAAUAUUCACUCAUACAUAAAUUCUACCAAAAUAUAAAUCUAUCACUAAUACAUGCAAAACAUAAUAAAAAUAAAAAAUUUAGUGUGUUAUUACUCAAUAACUUCUUGAACAUGUUUUUAUUUUUCAAGGUUAGAUGGAAGGUUUAAACUUGAAUUUUAAUUCUUCACAUGUCACUUGGACAUAGCACUAGAAAUAAACUAAAAAUUAUUGACAUAGAUAUUGAUUUUAUUCAUUAAUUAGUGUUGACACAUUAUUGUGUUUACGUGUCUGAUUUUAUUGAUAAAGUAUUAUUAAUAAAAAAUGGUACAAACUUUCAUUAACGACUUAGUAUAAAGUUGAGAAAAUUGAAAAAUGGAAGGCCAAAUUGAUAAUUAACUACAAAAUUAAGGUUUAUAUUAUAUACUUUAAAUAAUAACAACAAUAACAAAGUUGAAUAAAAUCGUGCUCACUUCUGCACGCCUUUUUUCUUUUUUUAUUUUUUAUAUAUUGGUCAUAGAUUAAACGAAAAGGCAUUUCUAUAACUAGCCAUAUGUUAAAUUACAAUAUUAACAACUAGUGUCAUAAUCCAUAAUUUAAUCAAUAUAUAGUAUGUGUUUUCAUUAUACAUAAAAAGGCAUUAUCAGUUAAACUAUAAAAUAUGUUAAGUUACAAUAUCAAUCUCUAAUUUUGUGUUAAGUUACAAUAUCAAUCUCUAAUUUUGGUUAUUGGUAUAAUAAAUUACCAUUGAGAUCUCUAAAAUUUUGAAACAUUUAAUAUGUUUAUGAGCUUUUAAUUUCAUAACAGUAAUGUAUUUUUUUUCUAAUUACACCAAAUACGUAUGACUCGUUAGACACCAGUUUUAAACUUUUUUUUUCUUUUUACUUUUUGCUUUUCUGUAUAGACAUUCACUUUGGACAAUAUCCAUCCCUUUAGUUUCGCCCUCUCUCCCAUCAUCACUGCUCUUCCAUUACACAAACAAACAAACAUGAAAGCGAAAUUACAUAUCCAUCUUUAUUUUGAAAUUUGGGCAUCACAUUCCUCGGAGUAGGUGCAAGACGGACUCAACCCAACUCUAACAGAUGCUGGAAUUCCUUCGGCCCUUCAUCGAUUUUCCUCGCAAAAAAGUUGUCUUCAUUUGCAUUAGAGAGGCCUCCAGCUUAGACCGUGUACAAUUCUCACUCCAUCCUCAUCCAAUCCUUCUUAACUGCCACUUUGUUCCAAUAUUUUCCCAUUAUGUUUGGGUAUUGUUUUGUAAUUGAAUGUUAAGCAAUAUGAUUCAUGAUUUAGGGGAAAAUAUACAUUUUUGUCUCUCGCUUUAGAUUGAAAUACAUAUAUGAUUUAGUUAUGAUUUUUGGAAGAAAAAUAGGACACGGCAGAGAGUUUUAUUCAAUGUGACAUAAAAGGGUUCUCAUGGGCCGCUGAUGAACUAUAAAGCAUAUGUUUGGUAUGAAAGUCAGAAUUUAGGCGAGAAUUUGAGGGGUUUGGCCACUUAUUUGAUGUGUUCAUUGUAGAGCUUGAAUGGUCUAUUUUGUGCAAAUUUGACUUUUAUUCAAGUGGUGGCCGGUGGGUUGUUGAAGUUCUUAUAUAUUAUUUCUUUUGAAGUUCCAACUAAGUGGGCGAAUUAGAAAAUUCUGAAUAAAAUAUAAAUAUUAGUACACUUGAACUAUUCAUGUUGCCAAAUUUAGUGGUGAGAAUGGAUUAGUUGAUUCGAACAUUUAUUUACAUACAUAAUAAUGUUACUUACCAGAUUUAUACAUCUUUUUCGACGUGUUUGAGGAUUGUGAAAAUGGAAUAGAGCUAGAGAAUAACAAGGCAAACACAAUACUUGUUUGAAUGAAAAAAAUCAAUCAUUUGUGCAUCUAAAUCAUAUAUCUUUGCAUUCAUUUGCUAACAAUUGUUACGUAAAAUGCUAAUUCUUGAUCUCCUCAUGCGUACUGAAAGCUGAAUAAACUUUGUUGUAUGGCUAUUCUAAGAACUAAAAAAACAGAGUUAAAAGAUUUAAAGGUAGAUUGGUUUGAUUUUGGAAUUUCUAGAUCGUAAAACAUUCCGUCUACUACAAGCCCCCAGAUGAACAUCCUCAGUUGUAAAGUAAGUGAAAGUUUCACUUAAAUAAACAGAAUACAAUUAAAUCAAAAUAUCUGAGAAAUUAUUUUGAGAUUCUAAUGGGUGAUCCCAAUGUGAAACACUUCUAAAAGCUCUGCAUCUCAGUCGAAAACUAAAGUAUAGCCUUUUAAUAACUGAAAAGUUUGGGAAUUACUCCCUUCAAAACUAAAUUAUUGAAGGAAAAAAAAUGGCCGGAACAAAGUCCAAAACUCUGGAGACAUUUUCAUCAACAUCUGAAAAAUGAAUAAACCUUUAAGGUGAGGUUAACUACCUCAGCUUAUGCGCCACCAGAUCCGUAUUUCUUCCCGAAGACGAUCACCUGCAACUUAUCGUAACCGGCAAGCACACCAGCACCAGCAACGGCACGGAGAAUGUUAGCACCAGCACCCUUGAAGAGAGACUUGGCACCUUCGUUCUUCAAGAUCUGAGAGAAGGCAUCCAUUGAGCUCUUGUACUUCACUGCUUCACCAGACGUCAUCAUCAUUCUUCUACGAACAGUGUCAAUUGGGUAGGAUGCGAGACCGGCACCAUUGGUGAUGAGCCAACCAAGGGCAAAGCUAGCGAAGAAACUAUCCUGCACUCACAAAAAAAGUAGAAUAUAAUCAGAACAUAGCAAUUCAAACAUUGGCAUCCACUGAUGAACCCAAUUUAUAUAAUCCCCACAGCAAACAACUAACACCACUAGCAAACUGACCUGCAUCUUCCCGGUCAACAAAACAGGCUUUAGAGAAUCGUACAUUCCGAAGUAUAAACCUCGGUACACGAUGAUACCAACGCAAGAAAUGUUAAACCCACGAUAUAGACCAGCAACACCAUCAGACUGCAAUGUCUUCCUGUAGACAUCAACCAGUCCAUUGAAUUGCCUUUCUCCACCCUUCUUGGCAGCUUUGGCAUCAUUUGCCAAUCGGGUACGAGCAUAGUCAAGAGAGUAAACAAAAAGAAGAGAUGAAGCACCAGCUGCACCACCGGAUGCCAGGUUACCGGCAAACCAUUUCCAGUAACCAUCCCUGUCUUUCUUGAAGUUGAAAAGUCUCUUGAAGUAAUCCUUAAAAGCAAAGUUCAA